RNAcentral lists this ribosomal RNA (253 nucleotides) under uncultured bacterium. Its description in RNAcentral is "partial 16S ribosomal RNA". It matches the Rfam family "Bacterial small subunit ribosomal RNA", at positions 524 to 776 of the family's 1533-position model. The record is from RNAcentral.
GACAGAGGGUGCAAACGUUGUUCGGAUUUACUGGGCGUAAAGCGCGUGUAGGCGGCUUGGCAAGUCGGAUGUGAAAGCCCACGGCUCAACCGUGGAAGCGCAUCCGAAACGGCCUCGCUCGAGUCUCGGAGAGGAAGGUGGAAUGCUUGGUGUAGAGGUGAAAUGCGCAGAUAUCAGGAGGAACACCAAUUGCGAAGGCAGCUCGCUGGGACGUAACUGACGCUGAGACGCGAAAGCGUGGGGAGCAAACAGG